GUCGAACGGGCUCUUCGGAGCUAGUGGCGGACGGGUGAGUAACGCGUGAGGAUCUGCCCUUAGGACGGGGACAACAGCUGGAAACGGCUGCUAAUACCCGAUGUGCCGAGAGGUGAAACUAUUUGGCCUGAGGAUGAGCUCGCGUCUGAUUAGCUAGUUGGAGUGGUAACGGCACACCAAGGCGACGAUCAGUAGCUGGUCUGAGAGGAUGAUCAGCCACACUGGGACUGAGACACGGCCCAGACUCCUACGGGAGGCAGCAGUGGGGAAUUUUCCGCAAUGGGCGAAAGCCUGACGGAGCAAGACCGCGUGCGGGAGGAAGGUCUAUUGAUUGUAAACCGCUUUUGAUAGGGAAGAAGAUCUGACGGUACCUAUCGAAUCAGCAUCGGCUAACUCCGUGCCAGCAGCCGCGGUAAUACGGGGGAUGCAAGCGUUAUCCGGAAUUAUUGGGCGUAAAGCGUCCGUAGGUGGUUUUAAAAGUCUGUUGUCAAAUCGCGAGGCGUAACCUCGUACAGGCAGUGGAAACUAUAAGACUAGAGUGCGGUAGGGGUAGAGGGAAUUUCCAGUGUAGCGGUGAAAUGCGUAGAUAUUGGAAAGAACACCGGUGGCGAAGGCGCUCUACUGGGCCUGCACUGACACUGAGGGACGAAAGCUAGGGGAGCGAAAGGGAUUAGAUACCCCUGUAGUCCUAGCCGUAAACGAUGGAAACUAGGUGUUGCCCGUAUCGACCCGAGCCGUGCCGA
RNAcentral lists this ribosomal RNA (743 nucleotides) under cyanobacterium enrichment culture clone 2_4_2.1.3_E03-T7. Its description in RNAcentral is "bacterial SSU rRNA". It matches the Rfam family "Bacterial small subunit ribosomal RNA", at positions 61 to 849 of the family's 1533-position model. Lineage: Bacteria; Bacillati; Cyanobacteriota. The record is from RNAcentral.